RNAcentral lists this ribosomal RNA (253 nucleotides) under uncultured bacterium. RNAcentral describes it as "partial 16S ribosomal RNA". It matches the Rfam family "Bacterial small subunit ribosomal RNA", at positions 524 to 776 of the family's 1533-position model. The record is from RNAcentral.
UACGUAGGGUGCAAGCGUUGUCCGGAAUUAUUGGGCGUAAAGAGCUCGUAGGCGGUUUGUCGCGUCUGCUGUGAAAACGCGAGGCUCAACCUCGCGCCUGCAGUGGGUACAGGCAGACUAGAGUGCGGUAGGGGAGAUUGGAAUUCCUGGUGUAGCGGUGGAAUGCGCAGAUAUCAGGAGGAACACCAAUGGCGAAGGCAGAUCUCUGGGCCGUAACUGACGCUGAGGAGCGAAAGCAUGGGGAGCGAACAGG